AUUUAUAUAAUAUAUAUAGUAUAUUUGACUUCCAAUCAUAAAGAUUAAUUUUUAUUAAUAUAAAUA
This 66-nucleotide transfer RNA is filed under the name Endotricha consocia. RNAcentral's name for it is "tRNA-Gly". Lineage: Eukaryota; Metazoa; Arthropoda; Insecta; Lepidoptera; Pyralidae. The record is from RNAcentral.